GUGGGGAAUAUUGGACAAUGGGGGGAACCCUGAUCCAGCCAUGCCGCGUGUGUGAAGAAGGCCUUUUGGUUGUAAAGCACUUUAAGCGAGGAGGAGGCUACCGAGAUUAAUACUCUUGGAUAGUGGACGUUACUCGCAGAAUAAGCACCGGCUAACUCUGUGCCAGCAGCCGCGGUAAUUCAGAGGGUGCAAGCGUUAAUCGGAUUUACUGGGCGUAAAGCGCGCGUAGGUGGCCAAUUAAGUCAAAUGUGAAAUCCCCGAGCUUAACUUGGGAAUUGCAUUCGAUACUGGUUGGCUAGAGUAUGGGAGAGGAUGGUAGAAUUCCAGGUGUAGCGGUGAAAUGCGUAGAGAUCUGGAGGAAUACCGAUGGCGAAGGCAGCCAUCUGGCCUAAUACUGACACUGAGGUGCGAAAGCAUGGGGAGCAAACAGGAUUAGAAACCCUGGUAGUCC
This 451-nucleotide ribosomal RNA is filed under the name uncultured bacterium. RNAcentral's name for it is "partial 16S ribosomal RNA". It matches the Rfam family "Bacterial small subunit ribosomal RNA", at positions 354 to 796 of the family's 1533-position model. The record is from RNAcentral.